Long non-coding RNA from Siniperca chuatsi (mandarin fish), 1822 nucleotides. RefSeq lists it as uncharacterized. NCBI's taxonomy places the organism in Eukaryota, Metazoa, Chordata, Actinopteri, Centrarchiformes, Sinipercidae. The transcript is spliced from 3 exons. The record is from RefSeq and is a predicted model, not a curated record.
GUCAGCGGCCGAUGUUCUUUCUCUUUCCUCCUGGCUCUGUCUACAGCAUUGCUGCACAGCACCAGUUGCCACCACUGUGUAAUCUGCUUGGAGCAGGCACACAGAAGAAUCAAACUCUCUUCCAGCAUCUCUUACGGCUACUGCGCAAAGUCUGACAGCUAAUUUUAACAAGCAACUAAGGAAGUUAGCAGCAAGCUAACUGUAAGGAGAACAAAGAACGGCAACACAAUCGAAAUACUGCAUAGCAAGGACUUUUCCCGGAACCACAGUUCUUUCGAGCUUGGCCCGUCUACGACAGACUGACCGCCAGCGAACGGAGCAGCACACCAAGGCAAACUCUUUUCCCUCCAUGGACCGGUGACGAAAUAAUUGGGCAUAACAUAGCAUAGCAGAAUACACGGCUAAGCACAGGACCGUGUUACUUUUGAAUCUUUGACUGCAGAUACUGCGAUCUGCCUUGGUAGUCAUAUCCCGAUCGUUGCAAGCUAACACACCUCACACACAACCGACUAGACAACCGGCUACCAGAAAGAAUAAACAUGGCACAAUCCUGUGGGAAAAUGAUGGUUGAACUCGACUUGAAACGCAAAUAUCCAGAGAAUGGUUCACUCCAGGUUCAAUCUUUGCCAGUUAUGGAGCUUUAAAAUCCAAAAGGAAGGAAGCCUAAGUGGAGCUACGGCAGGACGAGGGAGCAGCAACCACCAUUUUUAACUGUAGUAGGGAGGCAGGACAUUUGUCAGUGAAGCAAACACAUCCCACAACACACUUUUCUUUAAGCUCUAACAUUUUCUUAAUGGAACAAUGAGUUUCAAAAUCACAACCAAGAUGCACUUUAGAAGAAAUGAAAUUAACAACUAGAGAGGCUGCUUGUGGAUGAUCAUGACUCAAUUUAGGACUUUUUGCGUAGAGGCCAAUACAGUCAGAAGUUCUUUUGGAGCCAGUAUCUAGUUGCCAUUAUGGCAAGCUAACAUCCAGCAGGAAAUAAACUACUACGUUGCAAAUUUUUGUUACUGCACUAUGCUGUUAAUACCAACUCAACACUUCCUGUAUCAGUUUCAAAUUAAAAGCCCUCUAGCGUUUCAGUGGACAGAAUACCUUCAUUUCCUAACAAGACUUUCAUUGCAAAACAUUUGCAGGACUGUGUUGUGGAAAAUGAAUUGCGCAGUUCCCAUACAGUACUUCAAAUGUAGCUAUUGCCAUCUUGUGGCACUUAUAUGUUACUACGAAAUACAGUUUGGCUGGGACAUUAACACACAUACACCCCCAGUGACUGAAAUGCGACAAUAACAUUAGAUGAGUAAUCCAGAACAACAAAGUGUUUAAAAUAGGAUGAUUUAAUGUUGAAUAAAGGUCCAGUAUGUAACAUAUAGGAGGAGCUAUUAGCAGAAAUGGAAUAUAAUAUUUAGAAAUAUGUUUUCAUUAGUAUUCAUUAGUAUAUAAUCGCAAUCAAAAAUAAGACUUGUGUUUUCAUUCCCUUAAUAAGCCCUUUAUAUCUACAUAGGCAGCGGAUCCCCUUCCACAGAGGUCACUAUGUUGCGCUGCCAUGUUUCUUCAGUAGCCCAGAACGGACUACCUUUCACGAGUUUUGCAGCCACCAUAGUUUCUCCUACAUGCUUAGAACGGGAGGGUGAUGUGAGCGGUAUUCAAAUGGUCGCAAACUGCAAUUUCACCGCUAGAUGCCGCUAAAUCAUACACACUGCUCCGUUAAAUUAAAGUGAUGGAAAUGUACCGUAUGCUUUCAAUCCCUUUAUCUACUCAUUUGAUAGUACCACUGGAGGAAUUUGCCCUUUAAUUAAAGCUUUAAAAGAGCAGUUUGACAUAU